UCAUCUAACUGAAGAAUUAAGAUUUUAUUAAUUAUGAAAAAAUAUGUGUUUUUCUUAGAACAUUUUUAAGCAAGAGCGGAAGGUGUUACAAUGAUCCACUGACAAAAUACGAAUUAAUACAGUUUCUUUUGUGAAAAUUCUUAAAAAAACAUAUAUCGGUUUACUGUGACAAAGAUUUUUUUAAGGGUUUAUAUAAAGCACAUAGCAUAUUUAAAUGCAUGUACUAUCAAAAAUUUUCAAAAAAUUAAACAAUUUAAAUUUGGUAAAUAAAAAUUUGGUUUAUUAAAUUAAUAUCAAUUCGAAAUAUAUCAAUAUUUUCUAAAGAAACUCUCAUUGAAGUGUGAUGUACGAUAUUCUACAAAUCGUGGAAACAAGUGAAAUUAAAACCACUGCGAAGAAAAGAAUUAUAGUGCACCCGUCUACGAUGUUCAGAAACUUUUGUGGACCAAUCAGAAUACCGUCCGUCGCAAUAACUAGUUUCUGUAGACAAAAUAUCUCUGAAAUAAGUGCCGUCGCUGUCCUUGGCCUCACGACGAGACAAACAACAAAUAUAUUUUGAAUUUUUGGCUCAAGUUUGUUUUGAAUUGAUCAGAAAUAAAGAAAAAGUUAAAAAAGGAAUAUUUUGAUACUUAAAAGCAUAAAUGUAUUUACGCUAGCGAAAUACAAACAAAAAAAGAAUAGUCGAUAAAUAUUUUGGUAACUUGACAAGUAGCUACGUUUAUGAAUGCAAAGUAUUUAUUAGUCAAACUCAAAAUAAUGGCUUUUCCAAGAGAACGUUGCUUUUAGAAGUUCUAUUAAUACCGAGAAAGCUACUGUGUUUUGUUUAUUUUUUUUUGUAUUAAAAAAAUUAACUGAACAAAAAAUAAACAUACAUAUAUAAAAACAAAAUAUAAAAAGAAAAAUAAAUAACAAGUAAACAUGAAAUUACUUGAAAGUUCACGGUUUGAAGCAAUCAAUAAUGCUCUGUCAAUUCAAACUGGUGACAGUACUAUAUUUGGCCGGAUAGAAAGCUAUUCGUGCAAAAUGGUAGCAGCAGAUAAGGCUUUGUAUAAGCGCUUCACAUCAGAAAUUCAUGGAAUCGGUCCGCAUGAUUUGCAGGCUUUAUCACCACCGCAAACUCUUGCUGAUUUAUCACCGACUUUUAAUAGGAAUAGCAGCCAAUCGGGCGACGAAGGGAUUAUUUUGUGUGACACAAUCUCCAGGAAGACAUUAUUUCAUUUGAUUGCAACUUUAAAUGCAGCCUUUGAGCCUGAUUAUGACUUCUCUGAUGCAAAGUCACAUGAAUUUAGCAAGGAGCCAUCCGUUCAUUGGGUUAUGAAUUCAGUGCACUCAAAUUUGUCUGCACUUGCUGGAGAUCAAUAUCAAUUACUUCGUCAAUCUCUAUGGUCAGCUAUUGAUGAUGAAAUCGUUAUAGCUGAGUGCGACAUUUACAGCUAUAAUCCAGAUUUAAGUUCAGAUCCGUUUGGAGAACCUGGUUGUUUGUGGUCCUUCAAUUAUUUCUUUUAUAAUAAGAAACUUAAACGAAUUGUAUUCUUCACAUGUCGUGCUGUCAAUCCGGUCAAUUUAGACAUCCGAGGUAACAUUAAUUCCCAGCAAGCUGAAAAUUGGUAGGAUUGUUGGAAACACCGUCAUAAAUUUAAUCUUAAAAGUCCUCAUCGAUCCGAGGCCUGGAAAAAAAUUUACUGGGGGUCAAAGGUCACAAAAACUGGUUUUUCACGAUUUUCAGCAAAACGUUCAUUGUACAGUAUAGACACUUCUGAUUUUUCUAUGGAAGAGGAUGGAUAUUAAAGAAAAUAUCUGAGGAAAAUAUCUAAAGAAAGCUAUAAUUUCGUUGGAGCCACCAAAACAAACCUUUUUUCAACAAUCUUCAAUACUCUUUGUUUUAUUAUAUUUUCUGCACAUUAAUUUAGGGUUUUGUUUCGAAUCACGAUGUAAAAACGAAAUAAAAAUGUAAAACAGACUUUUUGUGUUAAUCACUUACCUACAUAAAUUGUGUUAAAAGAAAAAAAUCUAUUUUAUUGUAAAAAAUACUUUUCACUUAUGCUACUCUUCAUUCUGAUACAAUAAACAUGUUUCAAAUCAGUAAAUUAUAA
This is an RNA transcript of Episyrphus balteatus (marmalade hoverfly), 2093 nucleotides long. It is a transcript of the gene named repressor of RNA polymerase III transcription MAF1 homolog, with no coding region annotated. The record is from RefSeq and is a predicted model, not a curated record. The transcript has 4 exons. NCBI's taxonomy places the organism in Eukaryota, Metazoa, Arthropoda, Insecta, Diptera, Syrphidae.